Mauremys reevesii (Reeves's turtle) is the source of this 222-nucleotide long non-coding RNA. RefSeq lists it as uncharacterized. The record is from RefSeq and is a predicted model, not a curated record. Lineage: Eukaryota; Metazoa; Chordata; Testudines; Geoemydidae. The transcript has 4 exons.
CAAACAGGAGGAAGAGCUGUUAGCAAAGGAGGAAUCUCCUUGUUUAGUUCAGUGAAAACUAGCUGGUUCUUCCUACAUAUAAGUACAUGAGAGCCUGACUAACAUUAAUGAAUUUAUCCUCACAACUCCCCUGUAAGAUUGCAAUUAUAGUGGCUGGAUCAGCUGGUUCUGAAGCACACCCCAAUGGACGGACCCUUUGAAGUCCCCGGCAAAAACUCUCCA